GACGAACGCUGGCGGCGUGCUUAACACAUGCAAGUCGAACGGAAAGGCCCUGCUUUUGCUGGGUGCUCGUGUGGCGAACGGGUGAGUAACACGCGAGUAACCUGCCCUUGACUUUGGGAUAACUCCAGGAAACAGGGGCUAAUACCGGAUAGGAGCUCCUGCUGCAUGGUGGGGGUUGGAAAGUUUCGGCGGUUGGGGAUGGACUCGCGGCUUAUCAGCUUGUUGGUGGGGUAGUGGCUUACCAAGGCUUAGACGGGUAGCCCGCCUGAGAGGGGGGCCGGCGACAAGACGACUAAGAGAGGGAGCAGACGCGUACGGUAGGCAGCGGGGGGAAAUCUUACACAGCGGGGCGGAGCGAGAUACGACGGCCUUGCGUGCGGAAAGACGGCUUUCGAGGUAAGAACCGCUUUCGACGGAGACGAGGCGUGAGUGACGGUACUGGAUAAAGAAGCACCGGCUAACUACGUG
RNAcentral lists this ribosomal RNA (468 nucleotides) under uncultured bacterium. Its description in RNAcentral is "partial 16S ribosomal RNA". It matches the Rfam family "Bacterial small subunit ribosomal RNA", at positions 28 to 507 of the family's 1533-position model. The record is from RNAcentral.